Molecule: ribosomal RNA, 253 nt
Filed under: uncultured bacterium
Lineage: Bacteria
Description: partial 16S ribosomal RNA
Rfam family: Bacterial small subunit ribosomal RNA
Source: RNAcentral
GACGUAGGGCGCGAGCGUUGUCCGGAUUUAUUGGGCGUAAAGAGCUCGUAGGCGGCUCAUUGCGUCAAUCGUGAAAUCCUGUGGCUCAACUACAGGCUUGCGGUUGAUACGGGUGGGCUGGAGUUCGGUAGGGGAGACUGGAAUUCCUGGUGUAGCGGUGAAAUGCGCAGAUAUCAGGAGGAACACCGGUGGCGAAGGCGGGUCUCUGGGCCGAUACUGACGCUGAGGAGCGAAAGCGUGGGGAGCGAACAGG